RNAcentral lists this ribosomal RNA (495 nucleotides) under Meyerozyma guilliermondii. RNAcentral describes it as "eukaryotic LSU rRNA". The stretch from base 85 to 238 matches the Rfam family "5.8S ribosomal RNA". The record is from RNAcentral. Lineage: Eukaryota; Fungi; Ascomycota; Pichiomycetes; Serinales; Debaryomycetaceae.
GCCUAGAGAUAGGUUGGGCCAGAGGUUUAACAAAACACAAUUUAAUUAUUUUUACAGUUAGUCAAAUUUUGAAUUAAUCUUCAAAACUUUCAACAACGGAUCUCUUGGUUCUCGCAUCGAUGAAGAACGCAGCGAAAUGCGAUAAGUAAUAUGAAUUGCAGAUUUUCGUGAAUCAUCGAAUCUUUGAACGCACAUUGCGCCCUCUGGUAUUCCAGAGGGCAUGCCUGUUUGAGCGUCAUUUCUCUCUCAAACCCCCGGGUUUGGUAUUGAGUGAUACUCUUAGUCGGACUAGGCGUUUGCUUGAAAAGUAUUGGCAUGGGUAGUACUAGAUAGUGCUGUCGACCUCUCAAUGUAUUAGGUUUAUCCAACUCGUUGAAUGGUGUGGCGGGAUAUUUCUGGUAUUGUUGGCCCGGCCUUACAACAACCAAACAAGUUUGACCUCAAAUCAGGUAGGAAUACCCGCUGAACUUAAGCAUAUCAAUAAGCGGAAGGAAA